Molecule: ribosomal RNA, 254 nt
Filed under: uncultured bacterium
Lineage: Bacteria
Description: partial 16S ribosomal RNA
Rfam family: Bacterial small subunit ribosomal RNA
Source: RNAcentral
UACGUAGGGUGCAAGCGUUGUCCGGAAUUAUUGGGCGUAAAGCGCGCGCAGGUGGUUUCUUAAGUCUGAUGUGAAAGCCCACGGCUCAACCGUGGAGGGUCAUUGGAAACUGGGAGACUUGAGUGCAGAAGAGGAAAGUGGAAUUCCAUGUGUAGCGGUGAAAUGCGUAGAGAUAUGGAGGAACACCAGUGGCGAAGGCGACUUUCUGGUCUGUAACUGACACUGAGGCGCGAAGACGUGGGGAGCAAACAGGG